This 857-nucleotide ribosomal RNA is filed under the name uncultured organism. RNAcentral describes it as "bacterial SSU rRNA". It matches the Rfam family "Bacterial small subunit ribosomal RNA", at positions 33 to 927 of the family's 1533-position model. The record is from RNAcentral.
ACGCUAGCGGUAGGCAUAACACAUGCAAGUCGAGCGGUAACACUUCGGGUGACGAGCGGCGAACGGCUGAGUAACACGUUGGAACCUGCCUCAAACUCAGGGAUAGCCUCGAGAAAUCGGGAUUAAUACCAGAUGCCCCAGUAAUGGGAAAGCUUUUGCGGUUUGAGAGGGGCCUGCGGCGUAUCAGGUAGUUGGUGAGGUAAUGGCUCACCAAGCCAUUGACGCGUAGCUGGUGUGAGAGCACGACCAGCCAGAAUGGGACUGAGACACGGCCCAUACUCCUACGGGAGGCAGCAGUGAGGAAUCUUCCGCAAUGGGCGAAAGCCUGACGGAGCCAUACCGCGUGUAGGAUGACACCUUUCGGGGCGUAAACUACUUUUCUGAAGGAAGAAGUUCUGACGGUACUUCAGGAAUAAGGGUCGGCUAAUUACGUGCCAGCAGCCGCGGUAAUACGUAAGACCCAAGCGUUAUCCGGAAUCACUGGGCGUAAAGCGAUCGAAGGCUGACCUGUAAGUGAGAUGUUAAAUACCCACGGCUCAACUGGGGUGCUGCAUUUCAAACUGCAGGACUAGAGGAAUGCAGAGGUAACUGGAAUUUUCAUUGUAGGGGUUAAAUCCGUAGAUCAUGAAAGGAACACCGAAAGCGAAGGCAUGUUACUGGGCAUUUCCUGACGCUGUGCGAUCGAAAGCGUGGGGAGCGAAAGGGAUUAGAUACCCCUGUAGUCCACGCCCUAAACGAUGGAUACUCGGCGUUCGGAUUUUAAUCGAUCUGAGUGCCCAAGCUAACGCGUUAAGUAUCCCGCCUGGGAAGUACGGCCGCAAGGCUAAAACUCAAAGGAAUAGACGGGGAUCCACACA